This 65-nucleotide microRNA precursor is filed under the name Murid betaherpesvirus 1 (Murine cytomegalovirus). Its description in RNAcentral is "microRNA mcmv-mir-m59 precursor (mcmv-mir-m59-1)". Its record names the gene mcmv-mir-m59-1. Lineage: Duplodnaviria; Heunggongvirae; Peploviricota; Herviviricetes; Herpesvirales; Orthoherpesviridae. The record is from miRBase by way of RNAcentral.
CUGUCGGCCGAGGCACUGCUCCUUUUGAGCGGUAGUGCAAAAUUUAGCAGUGCCUCGACCGUCAG